GUGAGGAAUUUUCCGCAAUGGGCGAAAGCCUGACGGAGCAAUGCCGCGUGAAGGAUGAAGGCCUAUGGGUUGUAAACUUCUUUUCUCAGAAAAGAAUUAUGACGGUAUCUGAGGAAUAAGCAUCGGCUAACUCUGUGCCAGCAGCCGCGGUAAGACAGAGGAUGCAAGCGUUAUCCGGAAUGAUUGGGCGUAAAGCGUCUGUAGGUUGUUUAAAAAGUAUUCUGUCAAAGAUUAGGGCUUAACCCUAGAUAGGCAGAAUAAACUUUUAAGCUAGAGUUUGGUAGAGGCAGAGGGAAUUCCCGGUGGAGCGGUGAAAUGCGUAGAUAUCGGGAGGAACACCAAAGGCGAAGGCACUCUGCUGGGCCGUAACUGACGCUGAGGAGCGAAAGCGUGGGGAGCGAACAGGAUUAGAAACCCUUGUAGUCC
Molecule: ribosomal RNA, 426 nt
Filed under: uncultured bacterium
Lineage: Bacteria
Description: partial 16S ribosomal RNA
Rfam family: Bacterial small subunit ribosomal RNA
Source: RNAcentral